Molecule: transfer RNA, 69 nt
Filed under: Tamiops mcclellandii collinus
Lineage: Eukaryota; Metazoa; Chordata; Mammalia; Rodentia; Sciuridae
Description: tRNA-Ala
Rfam family: tRNA
About the family: Transfer RNA (tRNA) molecules are approximately 80 nucleotides in length. Their secondary structure includes four short double-helical elements and three loops (D, anti-codon, and T loops). Further hydrogen bonds mediate the characteristic L-shaped molecular structure. tRNAs have two regions of fundamental functional importance: the anti-codon, which is responsible for specific mRNA codon recognition, and the 3' end, to which the tRNAs corresponding amino acid is attached (by aminoacyl-tRNA synthetases). tRNAs cope with the degeneracy of the genetic code in two manners: having more than one tRNA (with a specific anti-codon) for a particular amino acid; and 'wobble' base-pairing, i.e. permitting non-standard base-pairing at the 3rd anti-codon position.
Source: RNAcentral
AAGGGCUUAGUUUAAUUAAAUCAAUUGAUUUGCAUUNAGUAGAUGUAANAUAAAGUCUUGCAGUCNUUA